Long non-coding RNA from Homo sapiens (human), 1520 nucleotides. Ensembl annotates it as long intergenic non-protein coding RNA 1968. The record is from Ensembl. NCBI's taxonomy places the organism in Eukaryota, Metazoa, Chordata, Mammalia, Primates, Hominidae.
GGGGUCUCUCAUGAAUUUGCAGUCAAGAUGUCAGCUUGGGCUGCAGUCAUCUGCAUGGGGCUGGAGGAUCUGUUUCCAAGGGGCCCCACUCACAAGGCUGACAAAUUAGCACUGGUUGCAUUGGUUGUGGGCAGAAGGCUUUAGUUCUUCACGGGCUGUUGGCAGGUGGCUUUGGAUCCUCACCAGGAGGGACUCUGUAUGGGGCUGCUUGUGCAUCCUCACAACAUGGCAGCCAACUUCCUCCUGAGUGAAUGAUCCAGGAGAGAUCAAGGUAGAAACUGCAAUGCCUUUUAUGACCUCACCUCAGAAGUCACACAUCAUCAUUUCCACAAUGUCACAGUGGUUAUACAAGUGAGUCCUGUUCAGCGUGGGAGGAAAUAACACAAGAGGCAAAGAUCACUCGGGACCACCUUGUAUAUUGGCUACCACAGAACCCAACACAAGCAGUAAGUUAAAAUCAUGAAGCUCCUGACGUCAGAGGACAUGGCUCUGCCAUUUGUUAGGUAGGGAUCCUGUUAAAGGCUCAGCUUCCUCAUCUGGAAAUGGAAAUAUAGGCCUUGCCUGGUUUGCUGUAAUGGGUCGUGAUGAGGACCAAACUACAAAGAGUGGUACAGAUGUUAAUUACAAUGAUUUUUCCUAUGCCACCCAUGGAAACAAAAAUAGCAAGAUAGAGAAGGCUAAAUCCCAGUUUUUUUUGACUGCUAUUCAGCAAAGCCUAGGAGACUUUCAUGACACCUGGAGAGGCGGCCGUAGUGUAUGUGUAAGAGUACCGGUUCCAGAGUGGGGCUCCCCGAGCUCAGCCCCACCACUUACCAACAGCGGACCUUGGGCCAGAUGCUGAAGCCCUUUGUGCCUUGGUUUCCUGACCUAUUACUGUGGAAAUGAUGACAGUACCCUCCUCAUGGCAUCGUGAGAAUUAAAUUAGCUAAUUCAGGUGAAGCAUUUAGAAGAGGACCUCCUGACACUUAAUAACUGCUUGAUAUAAAUAAUAGCUUCUGCUACAGAGUGGCCAUGAAGUCUGGACAUGUAGAUAUUAUAUUAUCAUGCAUCAUAAGCACUGCAAUGAAUGCUGCUGCACACGCUGUUGAGCUCGUGGACACUUUCCUGCUGGGUGAGGACCCGAACGUGAAAUUGCUGGGUCAUGGAUUCAAGUGCUACACAUAUUUUUGACCACAUUACUGUGACUCAGGAAGCCCAGGAACAGAAUUCUAGGCACCAGAACCAUACAUGUUACAGCCUCUGAGCUUUAUGGCCUCUGAGCCAUUUGUCCAGCCACAUCAUUUGCAGAUGAGAUCCUGAGACUCAGGCUGGAAAAGUGACCGGGGAAAAGUCACACAAGUCAGAGGCAGAGCUGGAGUUUCCUCAUUUCCAGGCCCGUAUAGAUCAAGACGGACGUUGGUCAAACACCUCCUAGUACUCACAUGAAGAAGCUCUCCUUUCUGCUGUAGGAAUGAUCACACACCAUUCCAAUCUGGAUACCAAAUGUCAUUGUUUAUUAAAUGUGUGCAGUGUGCCAGGCA